UACAGAGGGUGCAAGCGUUAAUCGGAAUUACUGGGCGUAAAGCGUGCGUAGACGGUUACGUAAGUCGGAUGUGAAAGCCCCGGGCUCAACCUGGGAAUGGCAUUCGAGACUGUGUAGCUAGGAUGCGGAAGAGGGAAGCGGAAUUUCCGGUGUAGCGGUGAAAUGCGUAGAUAUCGUCAAGAACACCGAUAGUGAAGACAGCUUACUAGACUUCAACUGACGCUGAGGCACGAAAGUGUGGGGAUCAAACAGG
Molecule: ribosomal RNA, 253 nt
Filed under: uncultured bacterium
Lineage: Bacteria
Description: partial 16S ribosomal RNA
Rfam family: Bacterial small subunit ribosomal RNA
Source: RNAcentral